RNAcentral lists this ribosomal RNA (242 nucleotides) under Salmonella enterica subsp. enterica serovar Paratyphi B. Its description in RNAcentral is "partial 23S ribosomal RNA". It matches the Rfam family "Bacterial large subunit ribosomal RNA", at positions 1 to 234 of the family's 2925-position model. Lineage: Bacteria; Pseudomonadati; Pseudomonadota; Gammaproteobacteria; Enterobacterales; Enterobacteriaceae. The record is from RNAcentral.
GGGUUGUGAGGUUAAGCGACUAAGCGUACACGGUGGAUGCCCUGGCAGUCAGAGGCGAUGAAGGGCGUGCUAAUCUGCGAUAAGCGCCGGUAAGGUGAUAUGAACCGUUAUAACCGGCGAUACCCGAAUGGGGAAACCCAGUGUGAUUCGUCACACUAUCAUUAACUGAAUUCAUAGGUUAAUGAGGCGAACCGGGGGAACUGAAACAUCUAAGUACCCCGAGGAAAAGAAAUCAACCGAGA